Monodelphis domestica (gray short-tailed opossum) is the source of this 106-nucleotide small nuclear RNA. NCBI's taxonomy places the organism in Eukaryota, Metazoa, Chordata, Mammalia, Didelphimorphia, Didelphidae. The record is from Ensembl.
AUCUGAAUGAAUAUCAGAUAUAAUGCUGGCUUUAGCAAUAUAGAGAAGAUUAGCAUGGCCCCUGUGCAAGGAUGACAUGCAAGUUGAUGAAGCAUUCCAUUUAAAA